UGUAUUUAGUACAGAAUAAAAUUUGAAUAAAAAAAUGUUAAUUUUUUUAAAAAGAAUUAUAAUAACUAUAUUUAAGAAUUAAUCUUCAAUUAAAAAUAGAAAAAUUUUUUAUUAAAAUAUCUUUCAAAUAAAAUUAUAUUUAAAAUUACUUAGAAAUUAAUUAUGUUAAAAUUAGUAUAAAAUAUUAUGUUAAUUUAAGGAACUCGGCUUUCAUCUGUUUAUCAAAAACAUAGUCUUAUGAAAAUAUAAGGUGUAACCUGCCCACUGGUUUUAAAUGGCCGCAGUACUUUGACUGUGCUAAGGUAGCAUAAUAAAUUGACUUUUAAUUGGGGCCUUGAAUGAAAGGAUUAAUGGAUAAUUUCUGUCUUUAAUAAAUAAAUUUAAAUUUACUUAAAAGGUGAAAAUUCCUUUAAUUUAAUAUAAUAGACGAGAAGACCCUAGGAGUUAUUUUGUUGGGGCGACAAUAUAGCAUAACCUAUAUAUUUUUAAUAACGAAAAAUUUUAAUAAUAAUUUAACUACCCUAGGGAUAACAGCAUAAUUUUAAUUAAAGUUUGUGACCUCGAUGUUGGACUAGGAACUUUUAAAGCUAACAGCGUUAA
This 600-nucleotide ribosomal RNA is filed under the name Peloparion helenae. RNAcentral describes it as "partial large subunit ribosomal RNA". The stretch from base 212 to 353 matches the Rfam family "Eukaryotic large subunit ribosomal RNA", at positions 2135 to 2329 of the family's 3401-position model. Lineage: Eukaryota; Metazoa; Mollusca; Gastropoda; Stylommatophora; Helicarionidae. The record is from RNAcentral.